CCAGUGUGAAAUAGACGUAAUACUCAACUGAUGCUCAGUACGUCAUCAUCGCUUAACAGUUCAACAUGCUAAUAGACAAUAGAAAUGUUAUGUAAUGUUUUAAAAGUAGAUAUGCGCAAUUUUAAUGGGCUGUGUAUAAUUAAAUUGCUGCUUUUUUAUAUGUAGGUCAAACAAAAAUUAAUUUGCCAAAAAGAAAUAUUUUGUGUUUUGUUUUGUGUUCCGUAUCCCCUGCAAUCACAAUCUCUUUACAGCUCUUUACAUUUUCAGAUGCUUGGAAACAUGAUGUCAUGGGAACUUUGUUGUAAAUUUGAGCUUGAUUGAUGCACUUAAGACCAAACCAGUUCCAUUUUUGUCCUCCAUCUUCAUAGAAGGUGCCUUUUGAAGUAUUAAGUAACUCGCAAAAGCUUCGGGACUUUGUAUUGAAGCCUAGCUGAAUGCAUAACAUCGGUGACCUGCCAACUCAAGGGUCUGUAAAACAGGAAGUCCAUGGAAGCCCCAUCAGCUAAUGACAUGGUGGCUCCUUGACUGUCAACACAUUUCUCAUCCAUCUGCAGUUUACGUUAAUUCUCUUGGAUAAACUCAAAUACAUUCCAAACUCUACCACACUGUACAGCUGUAAGUUUGAUUUAUGUUUUUUUUUUAUGUUUUGUUAUUGUUUAUUUAGCAAUAAUGGAUUUUAUAAGUAUAACUACUAUAUAAAUGUGUAUAAAAGGAUAACAUUUUGAAUCUAGAGCGAAACGGAACUCAGUUUGACUCAAUGCUUUCCUGAGCCAGGCUUUUAACACUGUGAAGUGAUCAUUUCUGUCACAGUUGUUUAUUUUUUGUUGUUGUUGCUUUUGUGCAAUGCACUGAAAUUUUCUGUUUAUAACUGUGUAUGUACAGUAUGUGUGCCUAAAUGCUGUAUGACUGAGUGUAUGUGCGCUUUACCUGCACUGCACGUGCCCAUGUUUUUUACCAUAACCACUAGUGAAUGCCAUUUUUAUUUUUUUAUUUUUUAUUUUUUUUGCCCUAAAUCAGUGAAAUGUUAUGGUUUAGGGGAGCUUUUAGUGUUUGUUUGUUUGUUUGUUUGAGGAAAGAUGGAGAACUUCAGGCUCACUGAUAAUAAUGUUAUCUAUUAUUAGUAAUGCCAGUCAUUUAAAUAUCAUAUAUUUCAUGUUUACCUCAAGGCUGUGGUGGAGCUAAACUCAAAAUUUCUUACAAAACAAGACUUGUACUGAGAAUUAGGCAUGCCAGUGCUUUAGAGGUCCAUGUCAAAAUGAAAAUGGCAAACUUCCAGCUACAUUUAUCAGUGUUAUUAAUUCAUUUCAGUUGUCAACAGUAAAAACACCCUGUGAUAUGAACUCUGUCAUAUUAGUACUUCUGUUGUUGUGUUUUUUUUAAGAGUAUAAACAUCUUAUAAGCCUCAAAGUGUAUGGUCCCAGUUUAAGCAUCAUGUUCCAUUAGCAAAUAACAUGCCAUUGAGGGCUAUAGAAUCAAAUAUGAUUGUUUUUUUUUUUUGUAGUAACUGUGUAUAAUGUGCUAAUAUGAGUAAAGAAUGAUGUAUAACAGGAGGAUCUGGCCACUCUAAUUUCUAACGGAGGUUUAAUUUGUCAAUGUGCCAUUGUUAUUUUCACUUACUAUUGAGUUGUUUUGCUGAUAGUGACUUAAUUGUAAUUUUGUAAAAACUGAUUUUUACAUAUCUGUAUUAUUUUGAAGCAGCAGUUUUUCUUUUCUUUUGCAUAAUAUGUAAAAGUCCAUAGCCCUUUCAUUUAAGGCCAAAGGAAUGUGUUUUGUUGCAAUGAAAACUGUCUUGUAACUAUUUAUCCCUGUUUUUGAAGCCUUAUUUGUAUGUGAUAAAAAAAAACAAAAAAAUGGUUUCUGGAUUGCACAUUGAAUACAGUUUUUUGCUGAAUUCAAUAGUUAAUUCUCACUCAGGUUACUGCCAUCGUUAUGUAAGUUUUUAUUUGCUUAAUAUUUGUACACAGCCUUACUGAUAAAGUAAUGUCAAGUUUCUGGUUUAUAUUUGUCCAUUUUAAAGUUGCAUAAAAGACAUGCCACUUGGAAUGUUGCUUAUAGACUUUGGUGUGAAUUUGUAUUGAUGAUGAUGAUUGAAGGAGUCAGUAAACCUUUUUUUUUUUUCUUGUCAAAGCACUGAUGCUGUUUUUCCCUCUGUUUAGUUUCUGCUGUCUGUCUCUGGCCUGUGAAGCCUGUACAUUGCGCAUGGCCUCAUGCAGGUCUUUUGUGUAACAAACCGAAUUUUGUUUGUUUUCCUUUUUUCUGCAG
Cyprinus carpio carpio is the source of this 2262-nucleotide long non-coding RNA. The record is from Ensembl. Lineage: Eukaryota; Metazoa; Chordata; Actinopteri; Cypriniformes; Cyprinidae.